GACGAACGCUGGCGGCGUGCUUAACACAUGCAAGUCGAACGGAAAGGCCCUGCUUUUGUGGGGUGCUCGAGUGGCGAACGGGUGAGUAACACGUGAGUAACCUGCCCUUGACUUUGGGAUAACUUCAGGAAACUGGGGCUAAUACCGGAUAGGAGCUCCUGCUGCAUGGUGGGGGUUGGAAAGUUUCGGCGGUUGGGGAUGGACUCGCGGCUUAUCAGCUUGUUGGUGGGGUAGUGGCUUACCAAGGCUUUGACGGGUAGCCGGCCUGAGAGGGUGACCGGCAAAAUGGGACUGAGGUACCGGCCAGACUCCUACGGGGGGGAAGAGGUGGGGAUUAUGGCCAAAGGGGCGGAGCCCGAUGGAACAACCCCCGCGUGGGGAAUGACGGCUUUGGGGUGGAAACCGCUUUCGCCUGUGACGAAGCGUGAGUGACGGUAAUGGGUAAAGAAGCACCGGCUAACUACGUG
RNAcentral lists this ribosomal RNA (467 nucleotides) under uncultured bacterium. RNAcentral's name for it is "partial 16S ribosomal RNA". It matches the Rfam family "Bacterial small subunit ribosomal RNA", at positions 28 to 507 of the family's 1533-position model. The record is from RNAcentral.